GAAGGAGUCCAUUGAGAUGUAGCACUGUGAUUGGGCUUUAGACGUCUGGGGUAAAGGAACCACAGUUACUGUUGAACCAGUUGAUUCCCCUCAGACUCCGUCCCUCUUCGUUCUCAGUCCUCUGUCGACUCCCGACUUCCCUCUGAAGUCAGCAGACGACCUCGGUCCAAACGUCUGUCUGGUCACAAAUUUCCGUCCAAAGGGGGGAGACGUGGUUCUGAAUGGAAAAGGGGGUCCGGACAACGUGAACACUGAUAAAGCUGUUCUGUCAAAGAACAACACCUACAACUUUGCUGCAUUCAGCAACGAAACCAUCUACUCCUGUGGGAUGAACGGGACCUUCGCCAACAAUGAAGCUGAUGAUGAAUGUGGCAGCAUUUAUCCAGAAAAAGCCAAGCUGAACUUCUACCUGCUGCUGAUGAACGGAGUCCGAGUGGUGUUCACCAAAGCUCUGGCCUUCAGCACCGUCCUCACCAUCAGAGGCCUGCUCUUCUGAAACUCACCAUGAUUAAAAAAUAAAUAAAUAAAUCUGAGUUUUUAUUGAACUAUUUUAAUAAAAAGAGAAUAAUAUCAAUUCUUAAAUAUUUGCUUUGCUUUAUUUUUAAGUAUGAGAAAAUAAACAUUGUGAAGUGCACAAAUUUUAUCAUUUUGUAGAAAAGAUAAAUACGUGUGUCAUUAAUUCUCUAUUAAUUGAAAAAUAAGAUUGUAAAACGUGAAUUUGGCAUCAACUUCCAUCUCUUUUGGUCACUGUAAAAUGUCUUAUAUUUCAAAUUUUGAAAAUAGUUUGUACAUAUUUUUGCAAUAUUGCUGUAGAUUAAAAUUUUAGAUGAAUGGUAGUGACAUUUUUUGUUGUUGUUUGUUUUGCUUUAUAGUUUGGUAAUUGAGGUGUUACAGCAAAACAUUUCAUUAGCUUCUUCAUUUCUGUGUUUGAGACCUGAACUGAUAUUAUUCUCAGUACAUAUUCCAGUGAACAAUAU
Gambusia affinis (western mosquitofish) is the source of this 977-nucleotide long non-coding RNA. RefSeq lists it as uncharacterized. NCBI's taxonomy places the organism in Eukaryota, Metazoa, Chordata, Actinopteri, Cyprinodontiformes, Poeciliidae. The record is from RefSeq and is a predicted model, not a curated record. The transcript has 4 exons.